Non-coding RNA from Methylomicrobium album BG8, 28 nucleotides. Lineage: Bacteria; Pseudomonadati; Pseudomonadota; Gammaproteobacteria; Methylococcales; Methylococcaceae. The record is from Rfam.
GUUCACUGCCGUACAGGUAGCUUAGAAA